CUCCAUCUUUUCAGAUGGGGGAUUUAGCACGAGACAAAAGGGUUCCAGUCCUAGAGGCCAAAACAGAUAACAAAUGUCCACUAUGGCCUUUUCUACAAGCAAGUCAGCAACUAAGACUGCGGCAGAUUAGGGACAACUGCUACAAAGGACCUGUGUAGGGCACGGUGAUGGGAGGAAUCGAACUCAUGACCUCAAGCUUGCCAGG
Chinchilla lanigera (long-tailed chinchilla) is the source of this 205-nucleotide long non-coding RNA. RefSeq lists it as uncharacterized. The record is from RefSeq and is a predicted model, not a curated record. The transcript is spliced from 3 exons. Lineage: Eukaryota; Metazoa; Chordata; Mammalia; Rodentia; Chinchillidae.